This 3678-nucleotide long non-coding RNA is filed under the name Homo sapiens (human). RNAcentral's name for it is "HSALNT0048936". The record is from RNAcentral. Lineage: Eukaryota; Metazoa; Chordata; Mammalia; Primates; Hominidae.
AUCAUCCUGUGGCAUCAAAAAGCCUUUGGGCUCUUAACUUCCAGUAUGGCCUGUUCCUCUGGGUAUUGUUUAGACAAACCCCCAGGGAGCUGGCCUCUCUCAGGUCCCUUUCCUGAGGCUCUGCUUGACCUGGGUCUGAUCCCAAGUCUGGCCGGUUGUGCCAGUGUGUGGGGGGCAUCUUCUCUCUGUCGUGACACAGGGGAGCCCCUGCAAAUUAGAUAGAAAGAAACACCAUUGCUCAGGCUGGAGGUGGCCUAGGCUGUGUGUCAACCUCAUUUCUUUGGUAAAGUGCCCCCACGAAGGCUCCGUUUGCCGCUGAAGGGAGACCAUGUACUUCAAAGCUGAAGGGUUUUUCUUGGGAGCAGAAGCAGAGGUGACCAGAGUCCUAAAUCAUCAAGACAGGAUGGAGGUGGGUCCAGCCCUAUGGGGCUUAGCAGGUGUUCUCCCCGUGUGUGGAGACGAGAGAUUGUUAUAAAUAAAGACACAAGACAAAGAGAUAAAGAGAAAAGAGCUGGGCCUGGAGGACUACUACCAUCAAGAUGCGGAAGACUGGUAGUGGUCCCGAAUGGAUGGGCUCACUGAUAUUUAUUGCAUACAAGACAAGGGGACAGGGUAAGGAGGGUGAAUCUUCUAAAUGACUGACAAGGUGAAGCAAGUCACGUGAUUACAGGACAGGAGGCCCUUCCCUUUUAGGUAGCCGAAGCAGAGAGAGAAGGCAGCAUACAUCAGCGUUCUCUUCUCUGCACUUAUAAGAAAGACCAAAGACUUUAAGACUUUCACUAUUUCUUCUACCACUAUCUACUGUGAACUUCAAAGAGGGACCAGAAGUACGGGCGGAGCAUGAAAGAGGACAAGGAGGGUGACCACUGAAGCACAGCACCACAGGGAGGGGUUUAGGCCUCCGGAUGACUGCGGGCAGGCCUGGAUAAUAUCCAGCCUUCCACAAGAAGCUGGUGGAGCAGAGUGUUCCCUGACUCCUCCAAGGAAAGGAGACUCCCUUUCGCGGUCUGCUAAGUAACGGGUGCCGUCCCAGACACUGGCGUUACCCCUUGACCAAGGAGCCCUCAAGUGGCCCUUAUGUGGGCGUGACAGAGGGCUCACCUCUUGCCUUCUGGGUCACUUCUCACAAUGUCCCUUCAGCACCUGACCCUAUACCCGCCGGUUAUUCCUAGGUUAUGUUAGUAAUGCAACAAAGAGUAAUAUUAAAAGCUAAUGAUUAAUAAUGUUUAUAAUAAUGAUUGAUAAUUGUCCAUGAUCAUCUCUGCAUCUAAUUUGUAUUAUGACUAUUCUUAUUCUAACUAUUUUAUUUUCUUUAUUAUACUGAAACAGUUUGUGCUUUCAAUCUCUUGCCUUGGCACCUAGGUACUCUUUCACCCACAAUUUCUUUUUCUGUAUUGAGGUAAUCUGAAAAAAAUGAGUGGAAGAGCUAACAAUUUCUACUAAAGAUAAGUAAUAAUGAAGCCCUUAAGAAAUAUUAUAAACCUGUACUAACUAAAAAAUAAAUAAACAUAUCUAAAUAAUGGACACUGCUCCCUCAUGGGCCAAAAGUAUAUAAGAAAUUAACCUGAAAGCAGUGAUAUCAUAAAAUAGUGAGAAAGGAAAAUUCAUUUAAUAAAUAGUAUUGAAAGCAAGAUUUGCUACAUAAAAAACCUCACUUGAUGUAGUCUAAAAUAAAUUUUGAUUAAAGUAACACGUAACUUCCACAUAAGAUUCUAAGACCAGGUAGUUCAACUUAUGAUUAUUAUUUUAAAAUUUGAAAAGUCUGCAAAAAAAGUCUAUUUAGAGUAGCUAAACUAGAGUACCUCUAAUUUUAGAGUUUAAAAAAUAAUAAUUAGGCUGGGCACGGUGGCUCACGCCUGUAAUCCCAGCACUUUGGGAGGCCGAGGUGGGCAGAUCACGAGGUCAGGAGUUUGAGACCAGUCUGGCCAACAUGGUGAAACCCCGUCUCUACCAAAAAUAUAAAAAUUAGCCAGGCGUGGUGGCGAGUGCCUGUAACCCCAGCUACUUGAGAGGCUGAGGCAGGAGAAUUGCUUGAACCCAGGAGGUGGAGGUUGUAGUGAGCCAAGAUCGUGCCACUGCACUCCAGCCUGGGUGACAGGGCAAGACUGUGUCUCAAAAAUAAAUAAAUAAAUAAAAAUUAAAAACUGUAAUAUUGUCUUUAUCUUCAGUUAAGAAAAACUUUCUAGGCACGAAAGCAAUGCAAGAAUUUACAAAUAUAGUAAUUAAUAUUUUUAGAAUCAAAAAAGUUAAAUGUGUAAUUUAAAAAAAUGAGAAUGCUGCAAAUAAAAACUUUGAAACUAGGUUAGGUUGAAACUAAUGUUACUUUUAGAAUCAAAUUCAUGGCCUUAAAUUCUUAUAUUAUUAACUAAGAAAAAGUUAAAAUAAAGACAGUUAAGCAUUCAGGAAAAUGUGUUAGGGAAAAAUUCAAGAAAACAGUUGGGUGCUGUGGCUCAUGCCUGUAAUUUCAGCACUUUGGGAGACAGAGGCAGGUGGAUUGCUUGAGUCCAGGAGUUCAAGACCAGCCUGGGCAACAUGGCAAAACCCUGUCUCUACUAAAAAUAUAAAAAAAAAUUAGCUGGGUGUUGUGGUGCACAUCUGUAAUCCCAAGAAGGAUGUAAUGCCCGAGAGGGUGAGGUGGGAGGAUCACCUGAGCCUGGGAAAUAAAGGCUGCAGUGAGCUAUGAUAGCACCACUGCACUCUGGCCUGGGCAACAGAGUGAGACCCUGUCUCAAAAAAAAAAAAAGAAAGAAAAGAAAACAAAUAUGGGAAAAUAGUAAAUAGUAGAAAGAAAAUAAUUAAGGCAAAUGUACAUAUUAAUAAAUUUGGGAAAACUUUUUACAAGUGAAUCUUUCUUUGAGAAACAUUUAACAGAAUAGACAGUGCUAGGCUAUAUCUGCAUCAUGAAGGCAGGAAUCCUAUCCUAUUUUCCCCCGGGUAUCCUCAACACCUAAAACAUUACCAAUAUUUCUUUUUGAAGAAAUGAGAAUAGAUAUACAAUGUGAAAAUAUUAUAAAAAGAUAAAACAUAAGUAUACAAAAUUAAGAAGAAAAAUGUGGGAAUAAUAUGCAGAGAAGAUAAAAUUAAAAUAUUUCUUCAAAUUUAAAAGCCUUUAUGGGAUGGAAAAUAACAUUUAUCAAAAUGAAGUUAACAAGAAAAAAAAUCUAUAAAGUAACAUCUAUGAGAAACUUGUUUAAAUUAUUUCCACAUAAGAAUCUAAGGCCUGGUAGUUCAAUCUAUGAUUAUUGUUUUAAAAUCUGAAAAGUCUGCAAUAUCUGUGCAAUAUAAACUGUUCCAAAGUACACUUUUAAAGUGUGUGGGCUGGGUACAGUAGCUCACACCUGUAAUCUCAACAUUUUGGGAGGCUAAGGUGGGAGGAUCACUUGAGCCCAGGAGUUUGAGGAUGCAGUGAGCUAUGAUCACAACACUGCCCUGCAGCCCGGGCAACAGAGCAAGUCCCCAUCUUAAAAAAUAAAACAUAAAGUAUGUGUGGGGGCUGGAGAAAGGGUAGAAAAAUCCAUCCUGUAAGUGUGGUAAAGAAUGUAUUUAUAUUAACAAUAUUAGCUGUCUCAUAUCCAAUGCUUAAAAUGUUUUGACUACCAUAAAAUUAAAAGUUUUUUUUUAAUGUGUCAAGAAAUGUCAUAAAGAAUGAUGAGUGAAGUAGCAACUCAGAAAAAUACU